AGCCUGUUAGCGCAGUUGGCUCUGGCUGGCUUCAGGAGCUGCUCGCUGCUGUGGCACCCGCCAUGUUUCUUGCACCACAGCAGCGAGCAGCUCCUGAAGCCAGCCAGAGCCAACUGCGCUAACAGGCU
This 128-nucleotide microRNA precursor is filed under the name Podarcis lilfordi (Lilford's wall lizard). Lineage: Eukaryota; Metazoa; Chordata; Lepidosauria; Squamata; Lacertidae. The record is from RNAcentral.